GUAUCUUGGCCAGGGGAAAACCAUUUAGAGGGUUGCCUGCUGGGAGAUUGCAGUAAAACUAUUUGCUAUAAUAUUUAAAUUGAGAUUAGCCAUUUGUGCUCCGAGAGUCCGCAAAUCGAUUCGAAGUUAUACCUAUAACUAAAAUAAUGUUCCUAGUCCUGAGGUAUCGAAUAGGACAUGUUCUUAUGCUUCUAAAAGUUUUCCAAUCGCUGGGUUUAUGACUUGAAUUACUUUUCCUCUUUGCCGGACAUCAUCAGAUGGUACUGCAGGAGCAACGUUGAGUUGCCUAAGAUACAUGCCAUCAUGUUAAGCCAAUGUUUUCGAUUGGCUGGGAAGAGACCGCAAAUCUUCAAAUGAACUAAGCUGAAGUAUCGAAUAGGACGUGUCACAGCGCCAAAGUUCAACUGACUUUCUUUUGCUGUGAUGGUACUGCAGGAGCAGUAUGGAGUUGCCUAGGAUAAAGCCCAUCAUGUCAAGCCACUGUUUCCGAUUGGAUGGGAACAGACCGCAAAUCUUCAAAUUAACAUUCAUGCUGUUUUGGUUGUCUGGAUGAGUGCUUUGAAGUACCUCGUUGGACAUGACGCCCUCGCUAGCCGUGUCCUUUGACAUGCUCUGAUACUGAGUCACCAAAU
This is a long non-coding RNA of Drosophila miranda, 632 nucleotides long. RefSeq lists it as uncharacterized. The record is from RefSeq and is a predicted model, not a curated record. NCBI's taxonomy places the organism in Eukaryota, Metazoa, Arthropoda, Insecta, Diptera, Drosophilidae. The transcript has 3 exons.